UACGUAGGUGGCAAGCGUUGUCCGGAUUUACUGGGCGUAAAGAGCGCGCAGGCGGUCGUUCAAGUCGCGUGUGAAAGCCCCCGGCUCAGCUGGGGAGGGUCACGCGAUACUGAUCGACUGGAAGGCAGGAGAGGGUAGUGGAAUUCCCGGUGUAGUGGUGAAAUGCGUAGAUAUCGGGAGGAACACCAGUGGCGAAGGCGACUACCUGGCCUGUUCUUGACGCUGAGGCGCGAAAGCUAGGGGAGCAAACGGG
Molecule: ribosomal RNA, 253 nt
Filed under: uncultured bacterium
Lineage: Bacteria
Description: partial 16S ribosomal RNA
Rfam family: Bacterial small subunit ribosomal RNA
Source: RNAcentral